This 1268-nucleotide long non-coding RNA is filed under the name Panax ginseng (ginseng). Its description in RNAcentral is "long non-coding RNA (PGIN_LNC000992)". The record is from RNAcentral. Lineage: Eukaryota; Viridiplantae; Streptophyta; Magnoliopsida; Apiales; Araliaceae.
GAAAUACAGGGAGUAAAGUCGUUUUGGAUAUUUUUUAAAAAAAUUAUUUGUUCCCUUCUCCAAUAAACAUGUAAUCGUUUUUUAAUAUUAUGUUCUUCCUCCCUUGGCCUUGCCAUACCCUAAGUCUACCAGUCUUCUCCCUUUUCAAUACUAUUAGCGUCACAAUCAUAACGUCCUAGCCUUAAGGUUUUUGACCGAUCAUUUUCUCUCUCUUCGUGAUUUCACUACGUUAAAGCCUUUCGCAGAUUAGUACCGUACUAGAAGUAAUUUCUCUCUAUAUAUAUGUCAGUCAAUAUUGAAUUCGUUGUUUUUGAACUCUUUUGGUAACUGGGUAAGCAUUAAUUUAUAGAUCUUUGAUAUAGAUUAUGUGUUUUUUCUCUUGAUAAUUUGGAUUUUGGCUUAUUUAGUACAAUUUUUGUUGUUCUCUUCUCGGUUAUAACUUGAUUUUCGGUUUUGUGCUACAGAUCUGAUUUGGAAUUGGGAUAUCAACUACUGAAAUGGCAUACCAUCGAUUGUAUAUGAUUACUUACAUAAUUUAUUUAUAUAUUUGGAUUUUUAUUAAAUUUGAGAUUUGUUAUUAUCCCAUCCAUAUGGAAUUAAUUGAACUUCAAACUCUAAAAUGGUGUAAAAUUUCGAAGUUGAGGUUAAAUUAAUGAGAAGUGAUCUUUUUUUAUGGGUGUUGAUUUAUUCACUUAAUGUAUAAUUUGGAUGGGAUUAUUCUAGGUAGAGGAAUAUAUUUUAGCUUUGAUAUAUAUAUAUAUAUAUAUAUAUAUAUAUAUAUAUAUAUAUAUAUAUAUUUGUCAAUUGUUAAUUUGAGAUUCACUGUCAUGUACUUGAGACAUUUUGGUCUUUAGAAUUCUCAUUGUAAUAAUGAUUCUAUUUCUGUUUGUUAUUGUUCUCUUAGAACUACAUGACAAUGGUUCCAACAUUGGAGCUUGGCUUAUUUUACAAAUUCUAAACCAAGAUGCACUUGGAAAGGCUGCCAUUGAAAGCAUGUUUCAGAAGGCAAGGAUCGGAAAGGUUGCCAUUGAAAACAUGUUUCAGAUUGUACUUAAAAUGAAUUCAAUUGCAUUCACCACAAUGAUAACAAAGAUAUAAAUUGACAUACUUGUUUAAGUUGAGAAUAUAAAGUUAUUAGUAGAGUCUUGAUGAAUUGCUUCUGUUUAGAGUUAUUGCCUUGAUGGAAUGAUUGAUGGAAUGAUGUUAUUAGAAAUUGUAUCAUAGUAUAAUUAAUAUUGUAAAUUUAUCAUUGUAAUUAUUGUAACACG